UACGUAGGGAGCAAGCGUUGUCCGGAAUCAUUGGGCGUAAAGCGCGCGUAGGUGGCCACAUAAGUCCGUUGUGAGAGUCAAAGGCUCAACCUUUGAAAGCCGAUGGAUACUGUGUGGCUAGAGUACGGAAGAGGCGAGUGGAAUUCCUGGUGUAGCGGUGGAAUGCGCAGAUAUCAGGAGGAACACCAAUAGCGAAGGCAGCUCGCUGGGACGUUACUGACACUGAGGCGCGAAAGCGUGGGGAGCGAACAGG
RNAcentral lists this ribosomal RNA (253 nucleotides) under uncultured bacterium. RNAcentral's name for it is "partial 16S ribosomal RNA". It matches the Rfam family "Bacterial small subunit ribosomal RNA", at positions 524 to 776 of the family's 1533-position model. The record is from RNAcentral.